GACGAACGCUGGCGGCGUGCUUAACACAUGCAAGUCGAACGGAAAGGCCCUGCUUUUGUGGGGUGCUCGAGUGGCGAACGGGUGAGUAACACGUGAGUAACCUGCCCUUGACUUUGGGAUAACUUCAGGAAACUGGGGCUAAUACCGGAUAGGAGCUCCUGCUGCAUGGUGGGGGUUGGAAAGUUUCGGCGGUUGGGGAUGGACUCGCGGCUUAUCAGCUUGUUGGUGGGGUAGUGGCUUACCAAGGCUUUGACGGGUAGCCGGCCUGAGAGGGUGACCGGCCACAUUGGGACUGAGAUACGGCCCAGACUCCUACGGGAGGCGGCAGUGGGGAAUAUUGCACAAUGGGCGGAAGCCUGAUGCAGCAACGCCGCGUGCGGGAUGACGGUCUUCGGGUUGUAAACCGCUUUCGCCUGUGACGAAGCGUGAGUGACGGUAAUGGGUAAAGAAGCACCGGCUAACUACGUG
RNAcentral lists this ribosomal RNA (468 nucleotides) under uncultured bacterium. Its description in RNAcentral is "partial 16S ribosomal RNA". It matches the Rfam family "Bacterial small subunit ribosomal RNA", at positions 28 to 507 of the family's 1533-position model. The record is from RNAcentral.